Leopardus geoffroyi (Geoffroy's cat) is the source of this 382-nucleotide long non-coding RNA. RefSeq lists it as uncharacterized. The record is from RefSeq and is a predicted model, not a curated record. The transcript is spliced from 3 exons. NCBI's taxonomy places the organism in Eukaryota, Metazoa, Chordata, Mammalia, Carnivora, Felidae.
AGUCAUUAACUCUACUGAAUGGAAGGCUUCUCAUGUUAUGGACAAAUUGAAGCUUUGCCAGGAAGGGAGAGCUGCACACGAAAUCUUCCUGCCUGGGUCUGGAGAUGUGAGCAAGGAAGAGGAAUAACAGAAUGAAUCUUGACUCGAUAAAGUAACUGCCAUUUUCCACUUGUCAACGCUGGAUCUCAUCACAUCUGGUAGAUGGAGUGAAUUCUACCACAUUUUUUCUUCCUUUGUUUUGAAAAGAGAUUUAUUCUGAUAAAAUUCAUGCUCAUUAUAAAUAUUGAAAUAUACAAAGAAUAAAGUAAAAUACAACUGUUGGGGUGAACAUCCUUCCAGACAGCUCUCUUUGUGCACCUAUUAAAAUAUUAUACAAAUGGGA